AGCUCCAAUAGCGUAUAUUAAAGUUGUUGCAGUUAAAAAGCUCGUAGUUGGAUUUCUGGUGGAAGAGUUUGGCCGGCUCAAUGAGUUUGCGCCUAUAUUCUUUCGCCAUCCUUGGGGAAAACUUGCUUGGCAUUAAGUUGUCGAGUUUGGGAUCCCCAUCGUUUACUGUGAAAAAAUUAGAGUGUUCAAAGCAGGCUUAUGCCGUUGAAUACAUUAGCAUGGAAUAAUAAGAUAGGACCUUGGUACUAUUUUGUUGGUUUGCGUACCUAGGUAAUGAUUAAUAGGGACAGUUGGGGGUAUUCGUAUUCAAUUGUCAGAGGUGAAAUUCUUGGAUUUAUGGAAGACGAACUACUGCGAAAGCAUUUACCAAGGAUGUUUUCAUUA
This 384-nucleotide ribosomal RNA is filed under the name uncultured bolidophyte. Its description in RNAcentral is "SSU rRNA". It matches the Rfam family "Eukaryotic small subunit ribosomal RNA", at positions 587 to 975 of the family's 1831-position model. Lineage: Eukaryota; Bolidophyceae. The record is from RNAcentral.